CAGAUGGAUCAAGCAUCUCUUUCUAUGCUACAUGUGCAUCAUCUUCAAGCUAAGAAAUUGUGAUUACACAGCAAGGAUAAGGGAGAUUACUUUUGAGUUUCUAUCAGAAUUACUUUUGUCCUAGAGUAGUUAAAAGAAAACCAACAGUUCCUGUCUUACUAUGUUUGAAUUUGAACUAAAGUUUGGAUCUCAUACUAUUGUAAAAGUUUACUCUGCUUCCACACACUGAGAUGACCUAUCUUGCCUGUUUGAACUUUACACCUCCCCAGUGCACUUGCAAAUUCCUAACCAUAGUGUCAGUAGUCAAAAAAAAAAAAAAAGAACCCAAUUUAAAAAAAAAAAUCACCAAAGUGUAUUUAGAGAUUUUAAAGUUUUGGUAAGGAAAAGUGCUAGAUGCCCUAUCCCUGUAAACAUUCGGUCAGACUGGACAGGGCUCCGAGCAAUCUGAUUUUGGUGGAGGUGCCCAUUGCAGAGGAGUUAGACUGGAUGACAUUUAAAAGACUCUUCCAGCCCAAACCAUUCUAUGAUUCUGGAAAUUGCUUUGUUAACAGGACUGGACCCAAAUAUCCCAAAUUCUCAACAGCACCAUGAGUAUUCUCUUGCUAUGUAUGCUUAGGUGUGGGGGAGGAUGGUCCAAUAGGCAGGUACAGCUACUCCAGGACUGGCUAGAAACACUAUGAAAGCAUGUGAGAUAAUUUGGUUUUGUAGAAGGAUUAGAGGAAUAUUUACAAGUCCUAAAGCGUGAUACCCAUGAAGCUUUUAGAGAAGAAGCAUUCCUAUGCCUUUCACAUAUGCCAUUUUCUUUCUCUGUGUUUAUCCAAUUUAGAUAUAUUUUUCAGGAGACUCCAUCAUAGGGCUGAUUCUGAACCGUAUUGCAACUCUAUUGUACUUUAUUUUCUUUUUCUCAUAUACUGCAAACGGAAUUAAGGUGUAGGGAGAAGUACAUAGUAAAUAUGAAGUGGUACUGCAACUAGUAAUUUGCUAAUCCACAAGUCUAAACAUGUACAGAGAAACAGCCCAGAUAAACUAAUUGUAAGAGUAGUAAAUAAUUAAGCACAACUGUUUUUGUAAGCUUUCCCAUGGCUUGCCUUUAUAAUGCCAAUUUCUAUGUGUUAAUAAAUUAGUAAUUCUUCAUCUUUAUAAAAAUUAAAAAUCAGUUUGUUUAUUGACCGGAAAAAAAGUUUAGAUUCUUCCUCCAAAAUGAAAAGUCACUUUCUGGGUAAGUGGGAAACUAUGCACUUUAUGAAUUUGCAGUCUUUACUAAGGUCUUCUCUCCUAAAAAGUGCAUUUAGUUUCUGGGCACGAAAAUGUGUAAAUAGAAAAAAAUAAUACAUAUAUAUAUAUAUAAAAUAGAUAAAA
Molecule: long non-coding RNA, 1359 nt
Organism: Corvus hawaiiensis (hawaiian crow)
Lineage: Eukaryota; Metazoa; Chordata; Aves; Passeriformes; Corvidae
Exons: 3
Source: RefSeq, a predicted model, not a curated record